Molecule: ribosomal RNA, 252 nt
Filed under: uncultured Bacteroidales bacterium
Lineage: Bacteria; Pseudomonadati; Bacteroidota; Bacteroidia; Bacteroidales
Description: partial 16S ribosomal RNA
Rfam family: Bacterial small subunit ribosomal RNA
Source: RNAcentral
UACGGAGGAUGCGAGCGUUAUCCGGAUUUAUUGGGUUUAAAGGGUGCGCAGGCGGCGUGUCAAGCAAGCGGUAAAAUAGCGGGGCUCAACCCCGUCGAGCCGUUUGAACUGGCGCGCUUGAGUUCAGGCGAGGUAGGCGGAAUUCCUAGUGUAGCGGUGAAAUGCGUAGAUAUUAGGAGGAACACCAGUGGCGAAGGCGGCCUGCUGGACGGUGACUGACGCUGAGGCUCGAAAGCGUGGGGAGCAAACAGG